Molecule: ribosomal RNA, 253 nt
Filed under: uncultured bacterium
Lineage: Bacteria
Description: partial 16S ribosomal RNA
Rfam family: Bacterial small subunit ribosomal RNA
Source: RNAcentral
UACGGAGGGGACUAGCGUUGUUCGGAAUUACUGGGCGUAAAGCGCGCGUAGGCGGAUUUGUAAGUCAGGGGUGAAAUCCCGGGGCUCAACCUCGGAACUGCCUUUGAUACUGCAAAUCUCGAGUCCGGAAGAGGUGAGUGGAAUUCCUAGUGUAGAGGUGAAAUUCGUAGAUAUUAGGAAGAACACCAGCGGCGAAGGCGGCUCACUGGUCCGGUACUGACGCUGAGGUGCGAAAGCGUGGGGAGCAAACAGG